Molecule: long non-coding RNA, 688 nt
Organism: Oreochromis aureus
Lineage: Eukaryota; Metazoa; Chordata; Actinopteri; Cichliformes; Cichlidae
Source: Ensembl
CCGACCUGCACGCCGGCGCUCCUCAUAACAACAGGAAGUAUCUGCAAAACCUGGGCUUGGGUGCUUAUUUCCCAGAAUACAAAGAACCAAUUGCAGCGGCCAUCUGGUUGGUUAUCACCUGUUUGACGACACUGUGCCCUCUGCAUCGUUUGACAGGAAUCGCGUCGUCACCUAAAGGGUCAAAGGUCGCAGAGCUGGUCGGCUUCAGCAGCCUCGGAAGUGACAGUCAGCAACAGGAAGUGUUGGACCUGAAAUAAACACAACAUCCAGAUGAUCCAGUGAGACUGAAGAAAACCCAGAGGUGGCAUACGACCUGGUACUAAAUACAUUAGAGGGUUCCCCAGGCAACCAGAACGUGGAGUGUCCACCAGCAACCGAUCGUCAGCUGCAAAGCAGAGUAUGACGAGUAUGACCAGCGACUUCAGAGGCCACACCCUUGACAAUGCACACUUCAAUCCAGUGUUGUAUGUUGGAGCAGCAGUUUAUCGGCAGCUGAGAGGAAGAGGUUGGAUAAACUCAUCAGGAAGGCCAGCUCUGUUCUGGGAUGCACCCUGGACCCAGUGCAGGUGGUGGGAGACAGAAGGACUCUGGCCAAAAUAACAUCUCUGAUGGACAGAGUCUCCCACCCCAUGCACGGAAAUGUUGCUGAACUGCAGAGCUCCUUCAGUGACAGACUGCUGCAUCCUCG